RNA transcript from Nymphaea colorata (pocket water lily), 1577 nucleotides. It is a transcript of the gene named exonuclease DPD1, chloroplastic/mitochondrial-like, with no coding region annotated. The transcript has 4 exons. NCBI's taxonomy places the organism in Eukaryota, Viridiplantae, Streptophyta, Magnoliopsida, Nymphaeales, Nymphaeaceae. The record is from RefSeq and is a predicted model, not a curated record.
UCGCAUUCUUGAUUCUCAACUUAAACAGGGGACGAGAUGUUCAUCUCUCUCUCUCUCUCUCUCAAGAUGGCCGUUCUUCAUCUUUCUCCAUUCAGGUGGAAAGGUCUUGGUCCCAUUUUACUGCACUCUGUAAUAAGUUAUCAAAAACCUGGUCUGCCAGUCCUAUGGAUUGCCCAUAAUGCUCGCCUCUUUGACGUCCCUUUUAUCAUUGAAGGAUUCAGUAGAUGCUCUAUGGGAGUUCCCUCAGGUUGGCUUUUCCUUGAAACACUUCCCUUUGCUUGUGAGGUGGUGAAAUCUGAAGUUAACAAAUGGUUCCAACUUGAACGCCUCUUCUUUAGUAACAGGCGAAAGAAUAGUUCACUCUGCACCAUGUUAAAACUCAAUGCUGCUGAAGAGAUUGUCACUUGUAAGUUACAGAUACCUUCUAGUGACGGAGAGGUUCAUCUAUGCCACCGGGAGCGAGGCUCGAAGGCCUCCCCAUUGCCCAUGCUUCCAGAGUCCUAAGCUGUGUUCGCGUCAACGAUAACAGCGGUGCACCCUUCAACUUGGAUGUUGCGCCCUACCACCUUAAGACACAGGAGCAUAGUGCACCCGGGAAUCGAAGUAAAGACCUGCCUUUUUAUAGGCCCCUAGCCCAACCAGCUACGCUAUGCCCCCUGAGGCUACAUAUACCUUAAAAGCAGCAACUUAAACUUGAAUUGCUGUUCAGUUCUUAUCACGAAAGUUAGAUAAUUGGUGAUGGAUCGGUGGAGCAGUGUAACUGGCACAUGUCAUCCACUACCAAGGAUCAAAGGUGCAGUUUGUAUCAUUGGCGUCCCUUUGCAUUCACUAUGACAUCCAACCUGCUGGUACAGCCCACGGAGCAAUGUCUGAUGUCCAUACACUGUCUUUGGUGCUUCAAAGGAUGACAUACGAUUUGUUGCUGAGCAUCUCAAUUCUUCUGCAAAGAUCUUUCAUAGCACCAGCUUAACUCCCUAGUUUAUGCAACCGUAAAUUACAAUAUGCUCCGUGUUAUGUGGUCUGCCCAUCUUCAUAUUUAAAUUAGUGGCAGAAAUCUCCUCCUUCUAUGGGUUGCUGGCUUCUACUGUGAAUCUGUGAUCACAGAAAGGUAUUUUAUUUUUGGACUACUGUCCCAUGCCCCAUUAUCAAGAAGGCAAACGUGCCAAGUGAAAGGUCCUGUCAAAGGUAUGUUGGCAGGCCUUCGAUCAGUAAAACUGUGAGGUUCCCUAUCCACAGAGAAACUGAGAUUUGGCCUGGCAGCAAUUGACCCCUUAUGAUUGGGUUUCAAGAUCUUCGUGGUGGCUUUCAUGAAUGAGGCUGUUGGUAUGAUGUCUUUCCCUUACCAGUUGAAUCUACUUUUACCGGUAUUGCAGCUACACCAUCUUUGUAUACGCUAGGCUUAGUUGGAACUCUACUAUAUUCUGGCUACAGGGACUUACCGUGGGUGGUGUCAAGACUUUCCUGACUAAAAGCAGUCUAAAUCAUACCCCUGCAUUUAAUAUUCAUAUUUAAAUAUAUAGCAGAGUGCUACUUUCCAGGAAAUUCUAUUGCCAAGAUUUAGUUUUUGCUCUUGAGGU